RNAcentral lists this ribosomal RNA (253 nucleotides) under uncultured bacterium. Its description in RNAcentral is "partial 16S ribosomal RNA". It matches the Rfam family "Bacterial small subunit ribosomal RNA", at positions 524 to 776 of the family's 1533-position model. The record is from RNAcentral.
GACAGAGGGGGCAAGCGUUGCUCGGAAUUACUGGGCGUAAAGGGCGCGUAGGCGGGAUGGCAAGUCGGUCGUGAAAUCCCUCGGCUCAACCGAGGAACGUCGAUCGAUACUGCUGUUCUUGAGGAUUGCAGAGGAGACUGGAAUUCCCGGUGUAGCGGUGAAAUGUGUAGAGAACGGGAGGAACACCGGUGGCGAAGGCGGGUCUCUGGGCAAUUCCUGACGCUGAGGCGCGAAAGCGUGGGGAGCAAACGGG